GAAGCAACGCGAAGAACCUUACCAGGUCUUGACAUCCCUUUGCCCUCCCUAGAGAUAGGGAUUUCCCUUCGGGGACAAAAGUGACAGGUGGUGCAUGGUUGUCGUCAGCUCGUGUCGUGAGAUGUUGGGUUAAGUCCCGCAACGAGCGCAACCCUUGUUCUUAGUUGCCAGCAUUCAGUUGGGCACUCUAAGGAGACUGCCGGUGACAAACCGGAGGAAGGUGGGGAUGACGUCAAAUCAUCAUGCCCCUUAUGACCUGGGCUACACACGUGCUACAAUGGAUGGUACAAAGAGUCGCAAACCCGCGAGGGCUAGCUAAUCUCAUAAAGCCAUUCUCAGUUCGGAUUGUAGGCUGCAACUCGCCUACAUGAAGCCGGAAUCGCUAGUAAUCGCGGAUCAGCAUGCCGCGGUGAAUACGUUCCCGGGCCUUGUACACACCGCCCGUCACACCACGAGAGUUUGUAACACCCGAAGUCGGUGAGGUAACCUUUUGGAGCCAGCCGCCUAAGGUGGGAU
RNAcentral lists this ribosomal RNA (516 nucleotides) under uncultured bacterium. RNAcentral describes it as "bacterial SSU rRNA". It matches the Rfam family "Bacterial small subunit ribosomal RNA", at positions 953 to 1468 of the family's 1533-position model. The record is from RNAcentral.